UUGUGUGUGUGCCUCAAAAAUUUGAAUGUGGGUCAUCUCUCUUGAUUAUUAUGAGCCAACUCCCACUUGUUGGUCUUUGCUGUCUUUUGGCCUCUCCCUUUUCCCAAACUCACCACUUAUAGAACCCCCUUUUGGCUUUUAAUUAGUAUAUACGACUAGGAGUAUACAAUUUGUCAUUCUUCUUGUAACCAGUAAAGUUUCAAUCUUUCUCUCUCUCUUCACGCAAUCCAACAUCCUUUCUUGCAUUCUUGUUCCCCUUUUCUUGAUUUUCUCUUCUUCUUCUUAUUUGCUAAGCAACAGAACAACUUUUUGUCGAUUCUUCACUGUUUCUUUUUUGUCUGUAGACAGACUUUUUGUCUUCCUGACAUAAUACAUGUGUGUUAUAUAUAUGAGUAUUUGAAUUCUUUAUUGUGUUUCAAGAUUUGAAUUUGCCGACUGGGUUCUUGUUACUAUAAAGCAAACUUUAAUGGGUGAUGACUAAUUUGAGUGAUGGAUUUGAUUUGUCAAGUUCUUGGAUGUUGACUUGAAACCCUUUAUCAAAGGAAACUUAAAUUCUCCCCAUUCUUGUUGUUAUUGUGAUUAUUGUGUAUCAAGAUUCAUGCUUGGAGUGCGACAAUGGAGAGGUUUAUGGCCUGCUUUCCACUUCUUUAACACUUUGUUCAGAGGUUUAGUUUAAGGAAAGAUGAAAAAUUUUCUGAAGAAAUUUCAUAUCUCUAGUCAAUCAGAGGAUUCAGAAGGGUCAAAGUCUUCAGCUAAGAUCAAGAGAUUGAGUGACGGUUUGUCGUCUGAAAGACAUUCAAAUUCUAGGUCUGAUGAUAAUAAGCCCUUUUCAGCUAUUUCUGGAUGGUUGAAUUCUGUUACCAAUCGUCAAAGUCCUAGUCCUCCAUCUUCUUCAAACGUGAGUAGAGGGAAUAUUAGGAUGGAACCUUCUGAUUCUGCUAGUAGCAGUGCCUUAGAGGCUGCUUUAGAUGCUGUAAGGCGUGAUUCGGAGUCUAGCAACUCGAGGGGGCCUGAUAUAGAGGAAGAGUAUCAAAUACAAUUAGCUCUGGAGUUGAGUGCAAGGGAAGACCCCGAGGCAGUUCAGAUUGAAGCUGUUAAGCAGAUAAGUUUAGGCUCGUGUGCCCCGGAGAACACUCCAGCUGAAAUUGUAGCUUAUAGAUAUUGGAAUUACAAUGCUCUAAGCUUUGAUGACAAGAUCCUGGAUGGCUUUUAUGAUCUUUAUGGGAUCCUGACAGAGUCCGAUCCCUCAAAAAUGCCCUCUCUUAUCGAUCUACAAAGAACACUGGUAGCAGACCAGAUCACUUGGGAAGCUAUCCUUGUUAAUAGAGCUGCGGACUCUAAGCUGUUGAAGUUAGAACAGAAAGCUAUAGAGAUGACUGCUAAGGUCAGGUCAGAAUCCAUAGGUUUUGCUGAUAAAAAGUUAGUUCAGAAGCUUGCGAUGCUAGUUUCUGAACACAUGGGUGGUUUAGUUGGUGAUCCUGACGGCAUGUUAAUAGCAUGGAGAAGCCUUAGUCAUAGUCUAAAGGCCACUUUUGGGAGCAUGGUUUUGCCUCUGGGUUCUUUGACUGUCGGACUGGCUCGUCACCGUGCCUUGUUAUUUAAGGUUUUGGCUGAUAGUGUGGGGCUCCCGUGUCGAUUAGUAAAAGGCCAAGAAUACACAGGUUCAGAUGAAGUUGCAAUGAACUAUGUAAAGCUUGAAGAUGGAAGGGAAUAUAUUGUUGAUUUGAUGGCAGACCCUGGCACACUUAUUCCCUCUGAUACAUCUGGAACACAGGGAGACUAUGAGGAAUCCAUCCUCUCCAUCAGUCCAUCCUCCAAAGAUGUUGAUUCUCAUACGGGUUCUUCUAGUAGUGGGGUUGCUUGUUCUUCAGAAGAUCAUUCAGAGUAUGGAAUCGAAGAGAGGAAAUCCAGGUUUGGUGAAAUCAGUGCAGGAAAUGAGUCUCCCUCUACAGGUAAUUCAGAAAAGAAGAAAGGAAAUAAUAACUCUGAUGACUUCACAAAGCUUCGUAUGGUGAAGGAGCAAGGGCUGGAAACUUCAUCCAGGACUGGGCAUGCAAGAUCUCCUUAUUCACAUACAAGAUCUCCUUCCUGGACUGAGGGCAUUAGUUCCCCAGCUGUACGGCGAAUGAAAGCGAAGGAUGUCUCACUGUACAUGAUUGAUGCUGCUAAAGAAAAUCCACAGCUAGCUCAAAAACUUCAUGAUGUCUUACUUGAAAGUGGUGUUGUUGCACCACCAAAUUUGUUCACUGAAGUCUAUUCAGAGCAAUUAGAUGCCUCCACUGUGGAGGGAAAAUCCAGGUCAGAGGAUAUGGAAAGUCAGGGUAGGGAUGAGGUUGAGAAAAUCAAGAGUCAAGUUGAUCUAGAUUGUAAUAAUUUCUUGCCUCCUUUGGCUUAUCAUGCCAUGUCCAAGGUCAAUCCCCGUGGGCCAUUUGAUCCUCAUCUGGAUGGUGGAGAAGUUAGUGGGCAGCAUGUUUCCCCACACUCUGAGCUGGCUGCAGCGAAAUUCACAAAAAAUAUGCCUGUUGCUGCAGCUGCAGCUGCAGCAGCAGCUGUGGUGGCAUCUUCAAUGGUAGCUGCUGCAGCAAAGACCACAUAUGGUUCAAAUGCUGAUCUCCCUGUUGCAGCUGCUGUGAGAGCCACAGCUGCAGCAGUGGUAGCAACAACUGCCGCUGUCGCUAAGCAAUAUGAAAACUUGGAGACAUCUGCUCACUUACCAAAUAGUCCUGCUUUCUUCCUUAAUUUAAUCGACCCUAAAAGAGUUGAUAAAGAUGCAGAUGGUGCUGUGCCUGAAAAACGGGGUAGUGAUGAUCAAGUGCAUGAGGCAUUAGGAGUGAAUUAUGAGGGUGAAAGAGUAUCAGAUAGGUCAACUGGUAAUGAUAGUGUGAAAUCUGAUGUGACACUUGAUGAUGUCGCAGAUUGUGAGAUUCCAAUGGAGGAGAUCACCUUGGGUGAGCGUAUCGGACUUGGAUCUUAUGGGGAGGUCUAUCGUGGAGAGUGGCAUGGAACUGAAGUAGCUGUGAAGAAAUUCCUAGACCAGGAGUUAGCUGGUGAAUCCCUUGAAGAGUUUAAAAGUGAGGUGAUGAUCAUGAGAAGACUCCGGCAUCCUAAUGUAGUCCUGUUCAUGGGAGCUGUUACACGUCCUCCAAACCUUUCAAUUGUUACCGAGUUUCUUCAUAGAGGUAGUUUGUACAGGUUAAUUCAUCGAUCGAACAAUCAAUUAGAUGAAAGGAGACGGUUGAGGAUGGCUCUUGAUGCUGCUCGAGGGAUGAACUAUCUACACAAUUGCACUCCUGUGAUAGUUCAUCGUGAUUUGAAGUCUCCAAAUCUCCUUGUGGAUAAGAACUGGGUUGUGAAGGUAUGUGAUUUUGGGUUAUCGAAAAUAAAGCACAGCACCUUUCUAUCUUCAAGAUCAACUGCUGGGACGCCCUUUUGUAGAAGAUAGCUCCAUGCUGUUGGUCUUAAAACAAUUCAGGCUUUUGGAGAUGUUUUGGUUGCCAAGUUUCGCCUUCAAAAAGGCUGAGUGGAUGGCCCCAGAAGUGCUGAGAAAUGAGCCUUCAGAUGAGAAAUGUGAUGUAUAUAGCUUUGGUGUCGUACUAUGGGAGCUCUGUACUCUGCAGCAGCCAUGGGGAGGAAUGAACCCCAUGCAAGUUGUAGGUGCAGUUGGAUUUCAGCAUCGCCGUCUUGACAUACCAGAUGACAUGGAUCCUGCUAUUGCAGACAUCAUCCGAAAAUGCUGGCAAACAGAUCCAAAGUUACGACCUUCAUUUGCUGAGAUUAUGGCUGCUUUGAAACCACUGCAAAAGCCUAUAACCAGUUCACAAGCACCAAAACCACUGGGGAACAGAGGUCAAGAAAAGGGUCGGUCAUAAAGAAACGUGGAUGAUCCAGCAGCAUAGUAUGUUUAGGACAGAAGGGAAAACGGAAUUUUAUCUUUUGUUGGAAAUGAAGACAGGUCCAUAUUUGUUUAACCAGAAAUUAAAGGAAGACAUAAAGGAUCUGUCAACAAACAUAUACUUCAUGAUGAGUCAAUUGUUGUGAUUUUUUUUUUGUUUUUUUUGUUUUCUGGCAGUUGUCAACCCACAGGUCCUCAACAUUGUGCAUCUUAUCUUAUGUAUAAUUCAUUUUUGGGAUCAUUUUGUAAUUAACAGAGAUUGAGAACAUUUCCCAUACUUCCACAUCAAA
RNA transcript from Solanum tuberosum (potato), 4182 nucleotides. It is a transcript of the gene named serine/threonine-protein kinase EDR1-like, with no coding region annotated. The record is from RefSeq and is a predicted model, not a curated record. NCBI's taxonomy places the organism in Eukaryota, Viridiplantae, Streptophyta, Magnoliopsida, Solanales, Solanaceae. The transcript has 14 exons.